GUAAUUUUGUUUGAAUAAGGUGCUUGAGACAGAGACGCAGCAUAAGCAUAUAGCAAGAAGAAGAAGAAGUAGUAGUUGAAAGAAAGAUGAGCGACGAGGAAAGAACGAAGCAAAUAGCGGAGCUGAGCAAAAGCCUGAAAGAAGGAGAGAGAAUCGUGGGCCCAACGAGACGGCCCGACGGAACCCUCCGCAAGCCCAUUCGAAUCCGCGCCGGUUACACCCCUCAAGACGAAGUCGCCAUUUACCAACCCAAAGGAGCACUCCUGAAAAAGGAGAUGGGCUCGGCUGGGCCUCCCGGCUACGACCCCGACGCCGAUUCCAAGCCCAAGCCCAAGACCAAGUCCGUCAAGAGGAACGAGAGAAAGAAGGAAAAGCGCAUUCAGGCUGCGCUUGAAAAGGAAAAGAAUGUGAGUGAAGUUGAAGAGAGUGGGAAGCAGGAAUUUGUGGAGGCAUUGACCUCGCAGGUAAAUGAACUCGCUGUGCAAGAUUCCCAAGCUCAAGAUAUUGAUAAAAGAAUUCGAGCUCUCAGAAAGAAGAUUCGACUUACAGAAGCAUUGGAGCAGAAAAGUACAGAGCAGAAUCUGAAGCCAGAGCAGUUGGAAAAGCUAGCAAAAUUAGAAGAUUGGCGUAGGGAGUUAAAGCUAUUGGAAGAUGAGAAGGGUGAAACAACCGUAUCAUGAACAAAGUUUUCGAAAUUGCAUGACAACAAUGUGUAGUUUUAUCCAUGUCUUCUUGAUAGAUAUAUUCCAUGGAAACAGCUGCAGGAAAUGUCGUGAGUGCAGUUUGAGUCCCAAAAAGGGCCCUACAGCCCAGCUAAUCAUUUCUCACUUGUACAUUUCCUGGUCAGUAUAAUUUUCUGAAAAUUAUUACCUCCUUGGGCCACGUAAUUUUCCUAAGCUCAUAACUAUUUGCUGUAAAACUUUGUUGGGCUAUCCACUCUGAAGCCUGAAUUAGUAUGAGUGGAGGAAGUUGUGGCUUCAUGUGGUAAUCUUAACGGUGUUCGAUUUCUUGAUUGAGUACAUUUGGUUUAUGGAAAUGUCCUUUUUAAUUGCCCUCGACUGA
Molecule: RNA transcript, 1062 nt
Organism: Glycine soja
Lineage: Eukaryota; Viridiplantae; Streptophyta; Magnoliopsida; Fabales; Fabaceae
Gene name: partner of Y14 and mago-like
Exons: 5
Source: RefSeq, a predicted model, not a curated record